This 462-nucleotide ribosomal RNA is filed under the name Liophloeus gibbus. RNAcentral describes it as "partial large subunit ribosomal RNA". It matches the Rfam family "Eukaryotic large subunit ribosomal RNA", at positions 335 to 614 of the family's 3401-position model. Lineage: Eukaryota; Metazoa; Arthropoda; Insecta; Coleoptera; Curculionidae. The record is from RNAcentral.
CGAUAGCGAACAAGUACCGUGAGGGAAAGUUGAAAAGCACUUUGAAGAGAGAGUUCAAGAGUACGUGAAACCGUUUAGGGGUAAACCUGAGAAACCCGAAAGGUCGAAGGGAGAAAUUCAUUCGCGUUUCGCAGUCGGCGUGAGGCGAUCGAGUGACGGAAUGCGUCUUCGGAUGUUUUCUGCACCUUUUGUUUUUCGAUCCGAUAGCGAACGCGUGCACUUUUCUCCUGGUAGGACGUCGCGAUCCGUUGGGUGUCGGUCUACGGCUCACGGUGGAGCCCGGAUGUACGGCUUGCCGUCACGUCCGGACCCGUGUGUCCCGGCUGACUCGCUCGACGGUAUACGAAUGGUUUAAGGCCGCUCUCGCGAGCGUUCGGCUCGUCGCAAGCGAGUUAAAUGUGUCGGUGAUCGGACCUAGUGCCGGUCCUGACCUUUGACGACUGUUGGCGGCGAAGUUCUCGA